UACGUAGGGUGCAAGCGUUAAUCGGAAUUACUGGGCGUAAAGCGUGCGCAGGCGGCUUUGCAAGACAGAUGUGAAAUCCCCGGGCUCAACCUGGGAACUGCAUUUGUGACUGCAAGGCUAGAGUACGGUAGAGGGGGAUGGAAUUCCGCGUGUAGCAGUGAGAUGCAUAGAUAUGCGGAGGAACACCGAUGGCGAAGGCAAUCCCCUGGACCUGUACUGACGCUCAUGCACGAAAGCGUGGGGAGCAAACAGG
Molecule: ribosomal RNA, 253 nt
Filed under: uncultured bacterium
Lineage: Bacteria
Description: partial 16S ribosomal RNA
Rfam family: Bacterial small subunit ribosomal RNA
Source: RNAcentral